This 449-nucleotide ribosomal RNA is filed under the name uncultured bacterium. Its description in RNAcentral is "partial 16S ribosomal RNA". It matches the Rfam family "Bacterial small subunit ribosomal RNA", at positions 29 to 523 of the family's 1533-position model. The record is from RNAcentral.
AAUGAACGCUGGCGGCAGGCCUAACACAUGCAAGUCGAACGGAUCCUUCGGGAUUAGUGGCGGACGGGUGAGUAACGCGUGGGAACAUACCCUUUGGUACGGAAUAGCCUCGGGAAACUGGGAGUAAUACCGUAUGUGGUCGAGAGACGAAAGAUUUAUCGCCAAAGGAUUGGCCCGCGUUGGAAUAGGUAGUUGGUGGGGUGAUGGCCUACCAAGCCGACGAUCCAUAGCUGGUUUGAGAGGAUGAUCAGCCACACUGUGACUGAGACACGGCCCAGACGCCUACGGGAGGCAGCAGUGGGGAAUCUUAGACAAUGGGGGAAACCCUGAUCUAGCCAUGCCGCGUGAUCGAUGAAGGCCUUAGGGUUGUAAAGAUCUUUCAGGUGGGAAGAUAAUGACUGUACCACCAGAAGAAGCCCCGGCUAACUCCGUGCCAGCCGCCGCAGUAA